GAAGUCUUUCUAUGUUACACAUACCCCUGUCACUUUGUAAUGAGAGAGACCACAAUGAAGUAAACAUGCGCUGAAAUCCUAUUCUUGUGUGUCAUUCCGCUUGCAAAAAUUGUUUCUACGACAAAAAAAAAAUGGCUUCUACAUCAAACUCGGAGUCGCUGUCUGUGUCUGAUUUGGAAAAAAGCAGGAGUGGACUUUGCGAGGAGUUCGCUACUAUAACGGGAACUGAUAGCGCCGUGGCUCAAUGCUACCUGGCUGAAAAUGACUGGGAGAUGGAGAGAGCUGUAAACUCAUUCUUUGAGGCAGACAUGGAGAGAAUAUUUGAGGAAGACUUUCAGGAGAGUGACUGCAUCCCUCCGGAAAAAAAGCAAAAAGUCGAGGAAGAACCUUCAAAGGAGUGCAUCGAUUUGACCGGCGACAGUCCAGUUGCACGAAAACCACCAGAUGAAGAUGAUGGCAAACUGUCCCUGAUCUCCUGGAACGUGGAUGGACUAGACACGGACAAUCUGGCAGAGCGUGCCAGAGGCCUCUGUUCCUACUUGGUGCUAUACACCCCUGAUGUGGUAUUCCUGCAGGAACUCAUUCCUCCUUAUGUUCAAUACUUGAAGAAACGGGCUGUCAGCUACCUCAUCAUUGAAGGUGGUGAAGAAGCUUACUUCACAGGAAUGAUGCUAAAGAAAUCCAGAAUAAAAUUCUUGGAGAGUGAGAUCGUAACUUAUCCCACCACACAGAUGAUGAGGAAUCUACUUGUAGCUCAGGUGACGUUCAAAGGUCAGAAGUUGUGCCUGAUGACUUCCCACCUUGAAAGCUGUAAAGGCCACGCUCAGGAGCGGAUGAAGCAGCUGCACACGGUGAUGCAGAGGAUGAGAGACGCUCCUGAUGAUGUCACCGUGCUGUUUGGAGGGGACACGAAUCUGAGGGACACCGAGGUAGCCAAAGUGGGCCUACCGUCCGGCGUCUGUGACGUGUGGGAGCGACUGGGCAAGCAGGAGCACUGCCGCUACACGUGGGACACCAAGGCCAACAACAACAAGACCGUCCCCUUCGUCAGCCGCUGCCGCUUCGACCGCAUCUACUUCCAGCCAGCCUCUAAGGAAGGAGUACCACGCCUGGCCCCGGAUCACAUGGCCCUAAUCGGACUGGAGAAGCUGGACUGUGGCCGCUACACGAGCGAUCACUGGGGCCUUUACUGCAGCUUCACCGCAGGGUAGAAACACUCGAAACAGCUGGAAGCAUUUUAGCGAACAUCUGCUGCUCCGUUUUUUGUUUUUUUUCACUGAAAACAGGCCCAAGCUGACAGUUGUUGCUUGUUAAUGUUAGGUCCUGAUUUGUUUUAUCUCCAUGCAGUUUUAAGAUGAGUCAAUAAAAACAUUCGUACUAUUUGGAAACCACAGUUGAGGUGGAAAUUUCAUGCCUUCCAUCCGAUUCCCAUAAAACUGCUGACAGAAAAAUACCACUGUGAGACGUGACAGCAGCCUGAGUCUUUUCACAUGCUUCUGUCUUAAUGAUGAAGGUCAGAGUUCAAGACUCAACAAUAAGAAAUUGACCAAAAAUGGCAUUGGGCUGUACGAGAGUUCAAAGGACAAAACCACUGAUGACCAAAAGCAACUUGAUCCUCAAGAAAAAUACUCUGUGGACUCACGAGGUAAAAGUGAAACAUUUUGGAAGGAACGUCUCCUUAGAUCUGGUGUUUAAUAAAUUAAUCCAUUCACCGUCUAUGCCCUCUUAUCCUGGCACAGCAGUGGGCUGUGUCUAUCUCCAGUUGUCAUUAGGUAAGACCUGGUUUCACUACGGGCAGGUUUCCACCCCAAAGAAACGCUUAAAACAAA
Gambusia affinis (western mosquitofish) is the source of this 1829-nucleotide RNA transcript. It is a transcript of the gene named tyrosyl-DNA phosphodiesterase 2b, with no coding region annotated. NCBI's taxonomy places the organism in Eukaryota, Metazoa, Chordata, Actinopteri, Cyprinodontiformes, Poeciliidae. The transcript has 8 exons. The record is from RefSeq and is a predicted model, not a curated record.